UAUUACAGAAACAAUGCAUGUUCCACAGAUGUGGAUGAAAAGGGAAACCGGUGUGAAUCCAGUACGGUCCCGCCACUGUAAAAGGGAGCUAUUAUCAUAUAUGUCACUGCCGAAAUGGCGGGAAGACGAUAAAAUG
RNAcentral lists this non-coding RNA (136 nucleotides) under Clostridiales bacterium. Lineage: Bacteria; Bacillati; Bacillota; Clostridia; Eubacteriales. The record is from RNAcentral.